This 492-nucleotide ribosomal RNA is filed under the name uncultured bacterium. RNAcentral's name for it is "partial 16S ribosomal RNA". It matches the Rfam family "Bacterial small subunit ribosomal RNA", at positions 29 to 507 of the family's 1533-position model. The record is from RNAcentral.
AGUGAACGCUGGCGGUAGGCCUAACACAUGCAAGUCGAACGGCAGCACAGUAAGAGCUUGCUCUUACGGGUGGCGAGUGGCGGACGGGUGAGGAAUACAUCGGAAUCUACUUUUUCGUGGGGGAUAACGUAGGGAAACUUACGCUAAUACCGCAUACGACCUACGGGUGAAAGCAGGGGAUCUUCGGACCUUGCGCGAUUGAAUGAGCCGAUGUCGGAUUAGCUAGUUGGCGGGGUAAAGGCCCACCAAGGCGACGAUCCGUAGCUGGUCUGAGAGGAUGAUCAGCCACACUGGAACUGAGACACGGUCCAGACUCCUACGGGAGGCAGCAGUGGGGAAUAUUGGACAAUGGGCGCAAGCCUGGUCCAGCCAUACCGCGUGGGUGAAGAAGGCCUUCGGGUUGUAAAACCCUUUUGUUGGGAAAGAAAAGCAGCAGGUUAAUACCCCGCUGUUCUGACGGUACCCAAAGAAUAAGCACCGGCUAACUUCGUG